AUACUGUUGAUGAGUCCCAAAAUAGGACGAAACGGCCGUCCAAUAC
This 46-nucleotide non-coding RNA is filed under the name Schistosoma mattheei. The record is from RNAcentral. Lineage: Eukaryota; Metazoa; Platyhelminthes; Trematoda; Strigeidida; Schistosomatidae.